This 236-nucleotide long non-coding RNA is filed under the name Capsicum annuum. Its description in RNAcentral is "long non-coding RNA (CANN_LNC001845)". Lineage: Eukaryota; Viridiplantae; Streptophyta; Magnoliopsida; Solanales; Solanaceae. The record is from RNAcentral.
AUCCACCCACCUUAUCCCUCUACCCUAAUGCUUUUCCUCCAUAUUUUCCUAUCCAGGAUCAUGUCCUCAGUCAGUUGUAAUCUCUCCAAGUCACGUUUAAUCACUUCCCUCCAGUAUCUCUUCGGUCUACCCCUACCCCGCUUGAAACCAUCCAAGGUCAACCUCUCAUACCUACUAACCAGAGCAUCUGUGUCCCUCCUCAUCACAUGACCAAACCAUCUCAACCUCACUUCCCG